RNAcentral lists this non-coding RNA (91 nucleotides) under Candidatus Oceanisphaera merdipullorum. RNAcentral describes it as "TPP riboswitch (THI element)". It matches the Rfam family "TPP riboswitch aptamer (THI element)", at positions 6 to 94 of the family's 105-position model. From Rfam's summary of the family: Vitamin B(1) in its active form thiamin pyrophosphate (TPP) is an essential coenzyme that is synthesised by coupling of pyrimidine and thiazole moieties in bacteria. The previously detected thiamin-regulatory element, thi box was extended, resulting in a new, highly conserved RNA secondary structure, the THI element, which is widely distributed in eubacteria and also occurs in some archaea. Analysis of operon structures identified a large number of new candidate thiamin-regulated genes, mostly transporters, in various prokaryotic organisms. Lineage: Bacteria; Pseudomonadati; Pseudomonadota; Gammaproteobacteria; Aeromonadales; Aeromonadaceae. The record is from RNAcentral.
UCCUAAGGGGUGGCAGUUACCAUUGCCUGAGAUGCGCUUGACGCGAACCCUUUGCACCUGAUCCGGCUAAUACCGGCGUAGGAAUAGGAAG